Molecule: long non-coding RNA, 504 nt
Organism: Chinchilla lanigera (long-tailed chinchilla)
Lineage: Eukaryota; Metazoa; Chordata; Mammalia; Rodentia; Chinchillidae
Exons: 3
Source: RefSeq, a predicted model, not a curated record
GUUUGAUAGAGUUUGUGAAUCAAGCCAUCUACACCUGCGUUUUUCUUUGCUGGAGCCAGGAUGUGGUGGAUGAAGUUCUGACCCUGUAGAUGAUCAUCUAGUCUUCAAGGAGAACAGGAGAAUAAGAUAGGGAAUUGAACUCUGGGACAGACCCUGCUCACCUCUACACUUAUGCAUGCUAAUCACCCAGGAAGUCUGUGUUACAGUUUUAUUAGCGAUACAUUUACCUCUUCUAUCUCAUCCGCCUUCAAGACUGAGGACAGACAUCAAGAUAAAAGUUAAGUAAUUUUCAAGGAAUCUCAAUUGCAGGUUUUCACAAUGACCAUUUCCAGACCUCUUAGGGUGAUGCAGGAAUUUCUUUCAGACCUGUCAUAACUUUGGAUAUUAGGAAAAACAGCCUUGCAGUCCACCUCAUGAAGACAUCUCUCCUCAAGCAAAAGCAAUUGCCGGAUGACAGGAAGCGGGACAUACCUGUUCACACACAAGGACAAUCGUGGGAGACAA